This is a non-coding RNA of Podospora appendiculata, 104 nucleotides long. The record is from the annotation of a GenBank genome assembly. NCBI's taxonomy places the organism in Eukaryota, Fungi, Ascomycota, Sordariomycetes, Sordariales, Podosporaceae.
GCCUCUAUAGCUCAGUGGCAGAGCGUUGCACUUGUAAUCAUAGCGUCAAACACUAUAUUAUCAGUGAUAUGCAAAGGUCCCUAGUUCAAUCCUGGGUGGAGGCA